Molecule: ribosomal RNA, 207 nt
Filed under: uncultured bacterium
Lineage: Bacteria
Description: partial 16S ribosomal RNA
Rfam family: Bacterial small subunit ribosomal RNA
Source: RNAcentral
CACGUAGGCGGCAGGGUAAGUCAAAGGUGAAAGCCCUCGGCUCAACCGAGGAAUUGCCUUUGAAACUGCUCUGCUUGAGUUCGGGAGAGGGAAGCGGAAUUCCUAGUGUAGCGGUGAAAUGCGUAGAUACUAGGAGGAACACCGGUGGCGAAGGCGGCUUCCUGGACCGAUACUGACGCUGAGGUGCGAAAGCGUGGGGAGCAAACA